CUGGGGACCCAAGGCCAAGCAAGAGCUUUCAUGACUGGGAGGAACAUUCCAGAGAGAAAAUUAUAUAAGUGGUCAUUUUGUCUAAAAGGAAAUGUGUUUCUCCUAUGGAGUAGAAGAAUUCCUGCAUAAAUACAGAUAAGUGUUAAGGUUGGUAUCUACCCGAAACAGAGUUUGAGUGAAUGUUUUUUAAAGAUUUUCAUACAAUUUUACACCGUUAAUCUUCUAUAGCUCUUGAUGAUGAGGAGCAGCCAGCAUUUUUCUCAUCAGGAUCUGUGCAGAUCUCUGGCUGAUUGCUUUAUGCCUGGUUCUGGAGCCUUUGCCAGUGCAUUCUAAGAAGAACAAGGGAAGACCAGCAAGCCACAGCAGAAGAAACUCAGAAGGAAAUGUAACCUUCCACAGGCCCACACAUGUGUUAUCAGCCAUACCUUAGGACAGAAGGAAUGAGUUUGCAGAAAGGAUGCUCUUCAGAACUCAUGAAGACAUAAGGUGCUUCAAAAGAGGAGACUUUCGGAACAUGAGCAGGGAAAUUGUCACUUGAUAGAUGACAAGCAUUGUGAGAAACAACAGUUUGCCUUUCUUCAUUCCCUUCCUGGUUAUCUUUCCUGUCACAUGAAGAAGAAAUGAAACACCAGAGAGAAUCAGGUUAUCAUCAUCUACACCAGCCACUGUCACUGGCCUUCAAAGUUCAACCUCCCUGGAACUCCAGAACUCCCCACUUUAUAAGAUGAAUGGCUAAUUGGAUCCUAGUACAUAAGGAAACACUGGCAAAAUAGCGGUAUAUAACAAAUGUUUCUUUUUAUGAUAGAUCUACAUCUGAAACAACGGUGAAAAAGCAUGCAUUAAAUUAAAAAGCAUAGUCUUCCAUUUGUAAGUAAUUUUGUUAUGUGCUGCUUAUGGGAGAUUGUUUAGUUAAAGCUAUAUUACUGCAAAAGAGAGGCAAACAGAGACAGCACAGCACAUUAGUAAAACACUAAAGCUUUUAAUUUCCUCAUUCAUUCAUUAAAGAAAUAUUUUCUUAGAGAUUAUGUUUGGCAAUAUGACACAUUUUUGUAGAAAAAUGCAAUGAGACAAUAAUAAAAGUUGUCUUAUAGAAACAACUUCUGCGAUUAAGAAACUUAUAAAAUUUAAGACACAAGGUAAG
This 1141-nucleotide long non-coding RNA is filed under the name Homo sapiens (human). Its description in RNAcentral is "HSALNT0112965". Lineage: Eukaryota; Metazoa; Chordata; Mammalia; Primates; Hominidae. The record is from RNAcentral.